RNAcentral lists this ribosomal RNA (526 nucleotides) under uncultured bacterium. RNAcentral's name for it is "bacterial SSU rRNA". It matches the Rfam family "Bacterial small subunit ribosomal RNA", at positions 984 to 1509 of the family's 1533-position model. The record is from RNAcentral.
ACAUCCAGCGAACUUGGCAGAGAUGCCUUGGUGCCUUCGGGAACGCUGAGACAGGUGCUGCAUGGCUGUCGUCAGCUCGUGUUGUGAAAUGUUGGGUUAAGUCCCGNAACGAGCGCAACCCUUAUCCUUUGUUGCCAGCGAUUCGGUCGGGAACUCAAAGGAGACUGCCGGUGAUAAACCGGAGGAAGGUGGGGAUGACGUCAAGUCAUCAUGGCCCUUACGAGUAGGGCUACACACGUGCUACAAUGGCGCAUACAAAGAGAAGCGACCUCGCGAGAGCAAGCGGGACCUCAUAAAGUGCGUCGUAGUCCGGAUCGGAGUCUGCAACUCGACUCCGUGAAGUCGGAAUCGCUAGUAAUCGUGGAUCAGAAUGCCACGGUGAAUACGUUCCCGGGCCUUGUACACACCGCCCGUCACACCAUGGGAGUGGGUUGCAAAAGAAGUAGGUAGCUUAACCCUCGGGAGGGCGCUUACCACUUUGUGAUUCAUGACUGGGGUGAAGUCGUAACAAGGUAGGCGUAGCGAG